CACGUAGGGCGCAAGCGUUGUCCGGAAUUAUUGGGCGUAAAGAGCUCGUAGGCGGUCUGUUGCGUCCGCGUGUACGAAAACUCGGGGCUUAACCCCGAGCCUGCAGUGGAUACGGGCAGACUAGAGGUAGGUAGGGGAGAAUGGAAUUCCCGGUGUAGCGGUGAAAUGCGCAGAUAUCGGGAGGAACACCGGUGGCGAAGGCGGUUCUCUGGAACGCAACUGACGCUGAGACGCGAAGCGUGGGAGCAA
Molecule: ribosomal RNA, 249 nt
Filed under: uncultured bacterium
Lineage: Bacteria
Description: partial 16S ribosomal RNA
Rfam family: Bacterial small subunit ribosomal RNA
Source: RNAcentral